CCUACGGGCGGCAGCAGUGGGGAAUAUUGGACAAUGGGGGCAACCCUGAUCCAGCCAUGCCGCGUGUGUGAAGAAGGCCCUCGGGUUGUAAAGCACUUUCAGGGAGGAAGAACGCCUGGUGGUUAAUACCCAUCAGGAAAGACAUCACUCACAGAAGAAGCACCGGCUAACUCCGUGCCAGCAGCCGCGGUAAUACGGAGGGUGCGAGCGUUAAUCGGAAUUACUGGGCGUAAAGCGCGCGUAGGUGGCUUGAUAAGCCGGUUGUGAAAGCCACGGGCUCAACCUGGGAACGGCAUCCGGAACUGUCAAGCUAGAGUGCAGGAGAGGAAGGUAGAAUUCCCGGUGUAGCGGUGAAAUGCGUAGAGAUCGGGAGGAAUACCAGUGGCGAAGGCGGCCUUCUGGACUGACACUGACACUGAGGUGCGAAAGCGUGGGUAGCAAACAGGAUUAGAUACCCUUGUAGUC
Molecule: ribosomal RNA, 465 nt
Filed under: Vreelandella stevensii
Lineage: Bacteria; Pseudomonadati; Pseudomonadota; Gammaproteobacteria; Oceanospirillales; Halomonadaceae
Description: partial 16S ribosomal RNA
Rfam family: Bacterial small subunit ribosomal RNA
Source: RNAcentral